Panicum virgatum (switchgrass) is the source of this 931-nucleotide long non-coding RNA. RefSeq lists it as uncharacterized. The transcript is spliced from 2 exons. The record is from RefSeq and is a predicted model, not a curated record. NCBI's taxonomy places the organism in Eukaryota, Viridiplantae, Streptophyta, Magnoliopsida, Poales, Poaceae.
UCCAUCAUAUAUGCGACUCGCCUCAUCACCUUUCGUCGCUGCGCCACCGCCCUGAUCCCCUUCCUUCUUCCUCGACGCAGAGUCUGCUUCCCUCCGCGCCGGCGGUCUGCUCUUGGCGGGGAUCCUCUGCAGUCGAAUCCUCCUCCGGUCCUCCCUACCGUCUUCUAGCAGAGGAUACAUCUCAUACUUUGAAAUUUUGCCUUGUGCUAUAUAAAGGCACGUGCCGACUGGAAUCAUGGUUCUGCUGUCUGCAUCCACUAGUGAGGAAGUGAAGUUGAAUGUAGAUAGCAACAUACCCCCGAGCUUUUCAGUGGGUAAUGGUUGUCACGUUGUCGUCGUCGUCACUGACGAUCGGGGAACACAACAAGAACACAAAUAUGUGCCGUGCUUCUGCUUGGGUAGUCUUUGUCUGUUUGCCGCCAAUUUUCAUUGCCAUCUCAGCAGGUUCGGCGUACAUCAUGUAUAACACACCCUUCAGGGGCAGUGGCUUCCCAUGGUGGAUGUCAGUGGUCAUGUUAUGGGGUGUCUACAUGGCAGUGGUGCGGCUGGCAAUGUGGCACUUGAUCCUCUUCUUGCCGCGGGCACCCUUUGCGGCGUUUGAAGCUCUGCGUCAUGUAGGUUUUGAGAAGAUUGGCCCUGCUCUCUCAGUAUCCACUGCCCUUUGUUUUGUUCUUUGACCUGGCGUGCAUACUCUGGUCUUGCAUUGUCAGCGUCCUGAUAGCUGCCAUCCUUAGCUUCUGGAUCUGCCUUGUUCGGACCUAUGGGGAGGAGCUAGCGUGGUUGGAUAUGUAGCAGACUAGCAGUUUGGUAGCAGAAUAAUAAUGCGCUCUUUUGAGCUCUUUUGUAAAAAACUGAAGUCAGUAGCCAAAAGCCGCCUUUUUCCUCUGUUUGGCUGGCCUUGUCCCGUUAUGCAUCGGAUGCUGGAUGUCUC